RNAcentral lists this ribosomal RNA (497 nucleotides) under uncultured bacterium. RNAcentral describes it as "partial 16S ribosomal RNA". It matches the Rfam family "Bacterial small subunit ribosomal RNA", at positions 28 to 507 of the family's 1533-position model. The record is from RNAcentral.
GAUGAACGCUGGCGGCGUGCCUAAUACAUGCAAGUCGAGCGAACAGACGAGGAGCUUGCUCCUUUGACGUUAGCGGCGGACGGGUGAGUAACACGUGGGUAACCUACCUAUAAGACUGGGAUAACUUCGGGAAACCGGAGCUAAUACCGGAUAAUAUUUCGAACCGCAUGGUUCGAUAGUGAAAGAUGGCUUUGCUAUCACUUAUAGAUGGACCUGCGCCGUAUUAGCUAGUUGGUAAGGUAGCGGCUUACCAAGGCAACGAUACGUAGCCGACCUGAGAGGGUGAUCGGCCACACUGGAACUGAGACACGGUCCAGACUCCUACGGGAGGCAGCAGUAGGGAAUCUUCCGCAAUGGGCGAAAGCCUGACGGAGCAACGCCGCGUGAGUGAUGAAGGUCUUCGGAUCGUAAAACUCUGUUAUUAGGGAAGAACAAACGUGUAAGUAACUGUGCACGUCUUGACGGUACCUAAUCAGAAAGCCACGGCUAACUACGUG